CUGUUUUAUAAGCGUAGCUUCUUUUUUUUUGUUGCCAUUUUUCGCUCUUCUUGAAUUCCUCAACUCAAGUAGCCUAGGUUUAUGCAAACAGGUGCACUUCAUGUUUGAGGAACAUAACUUUCGACUAUUCCAAACUAAUGGCACUUUGAUUAGUUUACUGGCAAGGCUACAUCCCUGCUGGAAAAUACAUCUUAAGCUGGUCUUUGGCCAGAAACAACUACUAUCAACCUGUUUUGUUUUUGUAACAUUGUAACUGGCCAGCCAGCUAAUAACAACCUUACUCCAUCUAAUUAGCGUAACGUUAGCUGGCAACUAUCUACCGUGUUCAAACAUCGCUAGCAUAUUAAGCUAGAGUCUCCCACAGCAUGAGAGCGAAAAAAACAGAUGGGAAAGAUACAGCUGAGCAUGCCCAUAUGAUCUAAUCUAAUCUGAAUCUUCAAGAUUCAAGAAGCUUCACUACUUCCUUAGCCAAAGAGGCAAUCCUCAUUUGCAAACUUUGAUCCAUCUGGUGUGGAGGGGGAAAGAGAGGUGAUGUGCCCUUUGACCUUUUAAAGGAGAGGGGAGCAGCUCCGUAUCUCAUGCUCCUCAGCCGAUCCUGUUUGAUCUGGACUCACCUCAGUUCACAAGUCUCAGCUUCUGGCCCCAACCCACAAAGGGAGGAAUGUGUAGAGCUGGUAGAGAAGAAUUGCUUCGUUGGCCCAAAACAAUACUGAAAUGUAAUGUUUAUGGCAGCCACGUGAAGACAUACUAGACUUGAAAACAUACCUGAGAUGGGUGAGGUCACCAGCAAAUACUAUGACAUGUUGAAUAUCUGCAUGAAGCCCACCUGCAUAGGAAUGACAAAAGGGACCACCAAGAUUAAAUGCAAGGUUUCCAUGGAAACCAGUUGAUGGCUGACUGCACUGACUUUAAAUGCCUGCAUAGACAUUACAGACUGAGUCAGUGGACUAACAGUGUAGGCCUUUCCUUUUUAAGCAUUUUAUAGCUGUCGGGACAGAAAUUUUACUUUACACAGAUUGUUCAUCGAUCCUUGUAGAUGCUGGGAUGACCAAAUAUAUGUCAGGCUCCCUAACCAAAGCCAUAAACUUAUGCUGCAAAUCACUUGAGAAAAUAACAUUGCUGCAGGAGCCCCGAAUUACAUGUACAUAUUAUGCAUACCAAAUGGUUUCACGUCAGUUUGCAUUAAGGCAAAGUUGAUUGUUCAAUUUGGGUUGGAUCAUGAAAGUUAUGUGACUGUCCAACUUUAUGGCAGUCUUUAAUAAGUAAGCAGAUAAUUAUACUUGAAGCGUCCGUGCAAUAACAUAUUUUAGCAAAUGCAUCUGCAAUGAUACCCAGGUCCUAGUAGUGGCUCAUAUGAGUUAUUGUGAUGAAUAUUCACUAUGGAAAGGCAAAUUUGGUUUAUCUUUCUAUUUUACAACCACAGCUUUAAAAAUGGGCUGACUUCCAAAAAUGUAUAUGUGUAGAAUGUAAAAAGUUGCUUCAAUGAGACGGUUACAGUUAUACAUAUUUACAUUAUUCAGGGCUUUUCAAAAUUGAAAUAGAAGAUUAAUUAUAAAAUCGUAAAAAGAAUUUGUAUUGUAAUUCUAAGCCUUUCCCUGCAUGCCUAUGAUGCAAAAAUCUCUUUUGGGUAGCUAGUUGGAUGUUGAUCACUUCUCUGUGCCAAAUCUCAACUCAGUCUUUAACCUGGUUAAAGAAUGCCGAUCACGUGUUUGUUUGUCAAAGGACGUCAGUCAAGCUAUUUGUUCAGGCUUGAUUUGGCGCUACGCCUUUAGAGCCCUAAUGAUUUUGA
Sinocyclocheilus grahami is the source of this 1789-nucleotide long non-coding RNA. RefSeq lists it as uncharacterized. The record is from RefSeq and is a predicted model, not a curated record. Lineage: Eukaryota; Metazoa; Chordata; Actinopteri; Cypriniformes; Cyprinidae. The transcript is spliced from 5 exons.